GAUGAAGAACGUAGCGAAAUGCGAUAAGUAAUGUGAAUUGCAGAAUUCAGUGAAUCAUCGAAUCUUUGAACGCACAUUGCGCCCGCCAGUACUCUGGCGGGCAUGCCUGUUCGAGCGUCAUUUCAACCAUCAAGCCCCAGGCUUGUGUUGGGGACCUGCGGCUGCCGCAGGCCCUGAAAACCAGUGGCGGGCUCGCUGUCACACCGGGCGUAGUAGAUUUUAUCUCGCUCAGGGCGUGCUGCGGGUUCCGGCCGUUAAAAAGCCUUUUUUACCCAAGGUUGACCUCGGAUCAGGUAGGAAGACCCGCUGAACUUAAGCAUAUCAAUAAGCGGAGGA
This 336-nucleotide unclassified non-coding RNA is filed under the name soil metagenome. RNAcentral describes it as "partial contains 5.8S ribosomal RNA, internal transcribed spacer 2, and large subunit ribosomal RNA". The stretch from base 1 to 120 matches the Rfam family "5.8S ribosomal RNA", at positions 35 to 154 of the family's 154-position model. The record is from RNAcentral.